CACGUAGUUAGCCGGGGCUUCUUAAUCAGGUACCGUCAUUUUCUUCCCUGCUGAUAGAGCUUUACAUACCGAAAUACUUCUUCACUCACGCGGCGUCGCUGCAUCAGGGUUUCCCCCAUUGUGCAAUAUUCCCCACUGCCGCCUCCCGUAGGAGUUUGGGCCGUGUCUCAGUCCCAAUGUGGCCGUUCACCCUCUCAGGCCGGCUACUGAUCGUCGCCUUGGUGAGCCAUUACCCCACCAACAAGCUAAUCAGACGCGGAACCAUCGUAUACCACCAGAGUUUUUCACACCACUUCAUGCGAAGCUGUGCGCUUAUGCGGUAUUAGCACCUAUUUCUAAGUGUUAUCCCCCAGUAUACGGCAGGUUUUCCACGCGUUACUCACCCGUCCGCCACUAACUCAUAAAUCACUAGGUUUCAAUAUGAGUCCGUUCGACUUGCAUGUGUUAAGCACGCCGCCAGCGUUCAUCCUGAGCCAGGAUCAAACUCU
Molecule: ribosomal RNA, 488 nt
Filed under: uncultured Lachnospiraceae bacterium
Lineage: Bacteria; Bacillati; Bacillota; Clostridia; Lachnospirales; Lachnospiraceae
Description: partial 16S ribosomal RNA
Source: RNAcentral